UACGUAGGGUCCAAGCGUUGUCCGGAUUUAUUGGGCGUAAAGAGCUCGUAGGCGGUUCCGUAAGUCGGAUGUGAAAACUCGGGGCUCAACCCCGAGACGCCAUCCGAUACUGCGGUGACUUGAGUCUGGUAGGGGAACACGGAAUUCCUGGUGUAGCGGCGAAAUGCGCAGAUAUCAGGAGGAACACCGAUGGCGAAGGCAGUGUUCUGGGCCAGUACUGACGCUGAGGAGCGAAAGCUAGGGGAGCAAACAGG
RNAcentral lists this ribosomal RNA (254 nucleotides) under uncultured bacterium. Its description in RNAcentral is "partial 16S ribosomal RNA". It matches the Rfam family "Bacterial small subunit ribosomal RNA", at positions 524 to 776 of the family's 1533-position model. The record is from RNAcentral.